AUGUGUGGGCAGUGGGCAGUGCCACACCCCAGGGGGUUGGGGACAUCGGGGACCACCCACCAUUCAUUCAGCGGGCAGUGCCACCACCCUGCCCUGCCACCCCCCCCCCCCCCCCCCCCCCCCCCCCCCCCCCCCCCCCCCCCCCCCCCCCCCCCCCCCCCCCCCCCCCCCCCCCCCCCCCCCCCCCCCCCCCCCCCCCCCCCCCCCCCCCCCCCCCGAGGAGGGUUUGGGGACAUUGAGGACCACCCACAAUUCAGCGCCACCCCCUGGGGGUUGGUUUGGGACAUCAGGGACCACCCACCAUUCAUUGGGUGGGCAGUGCCACCUCCCUGUCACCCCCAGGGGGAACCUGGGGACAUCGAGGACCACCCACGGUUCAGUGCCACCCACCAUUCAUUAGUGGGCAGUGCCACCCCCCCGGGGAGGGUUUGGGGACACUGGGGACACCCCACAGUUCAGUGCCACGCCCCAGGCCAGCUCUGGGGACCACCCACAGUUCAGUGCCACCCCCGGGCCCACUCUGGGGACACUGGGGACCACCCACAGUUCAGUGCCACGCCCCAGGAUGGCUCUGGGGACAUCAAGGACCACCCACAGUUCAGUGUCACCCCCCGGGGACGGUUUGGGGACACUGGGGACACCCCACACUUCAGUGCCACCCCCCGGGGAGGGUUUGGGGACACUGAGGACCACCCACAGUUCAGUGCCAUCCCCGGGCCGGCUCUGGGGACACUGGGGACACCCCACAGUUCAGUGCCACCCCCGGGCCCAUUCUGGGGACAUCAAGGACCACCCACAGUUCAGUGCCACCCCCCGGGGAGGGUUUGGGGACAUCGAGGACCACCCACAGUUCAGUGCCAUCCCCGGGCCGGCUCUGGGGACACUGGGGACACCCCACAGUUCAGUGCCACCCCCCAGCCCAUUCUGGGGACAUCAAGGACCACCCCCCCCCCCCCCCCCCCCCCCCCCCCCCCCCCCCCCCCCCCCCCCCCCCCCCCCCCCCCCCCCCCCCCCCCCCCCCCCCCCCCCCCCCCCCCCCCCCCCCCCCCCCCCCCCCCCCCC
RNAcentral lists this long non-coding RNA (1062 nucleotides) under Ficedula albicollis (Collared flycatcher). RNAcentral describes it as "lncRNA (ENSFALG00000025061.1)". Lineage: Eukaryota; Metazoa; Chordata; Aves; Passeriformes; Muscicapidae. The record is from RNAcentral.